RNAcentral lists this ribosomal RNA (444 nucleotides) under uncultured bacterium. RNAcentral's name for it is "bacterial SSU rRNA". It matches the Rfam family "Bacterial small subunit ribosomal RNA", at positions 28 to 471 of the family's 1533-position model. The record is from RNAcentral.
GAUGAACGCUAGCGGCAGGCUUAACACAUGCAAGUCGAGGGGUAUAGUUCUUCGGAACUAGAGACCGGCGCACGGGUGCGUAACGCGUAUGCAAUCUACCUUUUACAGAGGGAUAGCCCAGAGAAAUUUGGAUUAAUACCUCAUAGUAUGUGAGAAUCGCAUGGUUUUCACAUUAAAGUUCCAACGGUAAAAGAUGAGCAUGCGUCCCAUUAGCUAGAUGGUAAGGUAACGGCUUACCAUGGCGACGAUGGGUAGGGGUCCUGAGAGGGAGAUCCCCCACACUGGUACUGAGACACGGACCAGACUCCUACGGGAGGCAGCAGUGAGGAAUAUUGGACAAUGGGCGCAAGCCUGAUCCAGCCAUGCCGCGUGCAGGAUCGACGGUCCUAUGGAUUGAAACUGCUUUUAUUUGGGAAUAAACCUCUUUACGUGUAGAGAGCCUUG